UCACAGGUCUGGCCGACUGUCACCUAACACCUUCGCUUUAUUCAUCUAAGCCUCUAAGCUAUCUUGUUCUUCUCAAAUUUUGCGCCCAAAACAAGUUUUUUUUUUUUUUUUCUUUCCAAUAUUUGAAUCAACUCCCUUUUCACUAACCCUAAUCAUUCGUAUCAUUUUCGCAGGCAAAACGGUGUUGAAGCAGAGAGAAGAAGCGGGAUUUUCCCCCUCAAUUGUGCCCAAAAUAAUUUAAAAUGGCUGGAAGAAACCGCAUUCCUCGCGAAGCCUUCAAUGACCGGCAUGGAUUUCCUCCUGAAAGAUCUUUCCUCCGUGGUCCUCCUCUGCCACAACAACGUCCUCAUCCUGUGUUGUUGGAGGAAGAACUUGAAAUGCAGCAUGCAGAAAUUCGGAGGCUUUUGACUGAUAACAGCAGGCUGGUAGAAGAUCGAAUAGCUAUACGACAAGAGCUUGGUGCUGCGAAAGAGGAAAUUCAUCGUUUAAAUCUUUUCAUUGGUGACGUUCGUGCUGAGCAAGAGCUGUACUCAAGGGGACUUAUUGACAAAGGCUUGAAGCUGGAAGCAGAUUUGCGUGCAACUGAGCCAAUUAAAAAAGAGGUUGUGCAACUUCGUGAAGAAGUUCAGAAACUGAAUAAUAAUAAGCAGGAACUAACUGGUCAAGUUCAGGCUCUCAAACAAGAUGUUGGCAGGCUGCAAGCUGAUAAUCAACAGAUACCUGUUCUGAGAGCAGAAAUUGAUGGCCUGCACCAGGAAUUGAUGCAUGCAAGGAACUCUAUUGAUUAUGAAAAGAAGGCAAAUAUUGAGAUGAUGGAACAGAGACAAGCAAUAGAGAAGAACAUGGUCUCCAUGGCACGUGAGGUUGAAAAGCUACGUGCAGAACUUGCCAUUGUUGAUGGUAGACCUUGGGCUGCUGCUCAAGGUGGACCAUAUGGGAUGAAAUUCCACAGUCCAGAGGGGGCUUUUCCAGCUUCAUAUGAAGGAUACGGAGCUCGUCUGGCUGGUGCUAAUAAGGGUCCUUUUCAUGGUCCUUGUCCUGGGACUUGGGAGAAGUCCCGCAAUACUCAUCGCUAGGAAAGUUAUUGCUUGAUGCAAGAAAGGUGAAAUUGUUGCUCUAUUUUGGAAGUGCAAAAUAUUGACCAGCAUGGGGUUAUAAUCAUCUAUGUUUCAUGCAACAGCAGUAAUUUUUAUCUUAAUACAUUAUUGGUACCUGGUAUGCAUCACACGAAAUGGUGAAGAAAGAUCAUGUAUGCAUAUACAUGAUGUUGAGGAAAUAUGAUGAAUGAGGUAAAGUUACAUAUGCUCUAGACAAACGUGGAAGAAGGUGAAAAAAGAAGUCCUUUCUGAAUGUGUGUGAAUUCAUUGGUAUAUAAGCAUUUCAAUCUUAAAGGUGAUGCAUGGAACAUUGUUGCAUUUUCCGGGGGCCGUGCACGUGUCACAAGACCAUAUUCUCUUGGUCUCGUGACAAGUGUUUAUAGGCUGACUUAGACAUGCUAGGAAGCCACCCUAAGUAUGUUAGGUUUGCCAGGCUGAAGUUCCAAGCCACCGACACAAAAUCAGGGAUUGUGAGUCAUAGGCUAAACAAUAUCAUCCAUCUCUUUCUAUGACCUUCUCAUUUUCAGGUCUCCUGCUCUCUAGUAAUGGCAGGAUUUGAUUGCAAAUCCCUGGUAUGAUCAUUGAUCAACCAAUAUAAACUUUUUUCAGUUAAAGCCAACAUUGCCUUAAAAUGUUUUUUAGCCUUAUUAAUCUUGAGUCAAUAACAAAAGGGUUUAUAGGGAUAUCCUCAACAGACAAAAAACAGUUUCUUUUAUUUUUCUUCUUUUUUGGCCUUAAAUCAUUGGAGUUCAGUUCACCUACAUUAUUAGCUUGCAUGCAUGAUAGAAAAGUAGGCCUAAAUAAUUCUGAUUAUUCUAUGAAAAGCCAAGCCUCUAAAUUACAAAACAUAGAAAAAUAACAUUGUCAAAAACAAACUGACAUACAUAAAAGUUAUUAUUACAGCCUCUUGCAUUGCAUGAUUUUGAUAUUCAAAAUCUUUGCUUCACAUGCCAUUGCCCCUUUGCCAUGCCCACGUCUUUCUGUUUUGAAUCUCAUCAAUGUAGCCGUCCCUACAACGUUUUAGUGUGGUCUUAUCUCUAAACUUAUCCUUCUUUGAGGGGAAGGGUAGUUUGGACUCUGAACGUCAACAGGUUUUAAUGAUGUAAUAAAAAUAAAAUAUUACUGUUACUUAAAGUUUAGGAAAUUAAAGUCUAGUUUUUAGGUAUGAAGUAUGAAAAUUUUAGUUAAAAGAAAUGAGACAUAAACCUUCUUUAAUCAUUGGCUCCGCCAAAGCCCUGGGUAUUCGAGAUUUAGUAUGUGCAAUUUUAUGCAUGGUUUCCGAAUCCUCUCAUGUGUAGUUGUCAUGAGUGGUUUUUAAUCCAGUUAGUUUAGUUAAUUUGUUGGCUUUAGUUUAGAUUGUAUUAAUUCUUAGUUUGUUUGUAAUGUAUAAUGGUUUGAUUCUAUUACUCAAACUCCUCAUUUAUAAUAAUUUGAUACUUGUGGUUAUUUGAA
This is an RNA transcript of Gossypium raimondii (Peruvian cotton), 2549 nucleotides long. It is a transcript of the gene named protein FLX-like 3, with no coding region annotated. The transcript has 7 exons. Lineage: Eukaryota; Viridiplantae; Streptophyta; Magnoliopsida; Malvales; Malvaceae. The record is from RefSeq and is a predicted model, not a curated record.